Long non-coding RNA from Astatotilapia calliptera (eastern happy), 1000 nucleotides. NCBI's taxonomy places the organism in Eukaryota, Metazoa, Chordata, Actinopteri, Cichliformes, Cichlidae. The record is from Ensembl.
AGGGGAUUUCACCAUAAAGGCAGGGAACCAUGAAAUAUCUGAGAAGUGCUGGAACCGCUCUCCUCUCCAAAUUAUAGCCAAAUACAGUCUUAUUGGUUGAGGGGAAAAGCCUUGGCAGUGCAUAAAGAGCUCAGUGUGUGGCUGAAGUGACCAUGCAACUCCUGAAAAUAAACAGGAAUCAAAUGGAGUGAUUGAUCGAAUAAAUUACUUUCAGCAGCAACCAACUCUCUUUCUCUCACACACAGACACACACAAAACAGAUGCAUAUAUACAAACUCUGUUAACCAGCUUUGCAGAAAAACACACACUUGUAGCGAUUUGCUCCAGUAUUCAGACCAGCUCCAGUUUUGGUAUAGGCAUGUUACAGAGCAGUGUGGUGGUGGUGAGGGGACAGUGGGGUGUUAGGUGAUUAAUAUGGUACAUCAAACUGUAUGAGGCACAGAAUGAUUUUAAUUGUAGGAAUUUUUGUUUUGUUUUGUUUUGUUUUGUUUUGUUUUGUUUUGUUUUUCACGAACUAUCUUGGUCGAGUACGACCUCUUGAUUAUUUUAUGUGAGAUCCAGGAAGGUAAUCAAUUGACAAUAUGGCAGACUUGUUGAAUACUCAAAGCAUUUUUUAGCCCAUGGUUGAUUACAAUAAUACCUUGAUGUCUCAAAAGCUUUUACAACCUAAACAAAGCAAAAUAAUUAAGACCGAAUCUUUUGCUUUUAGUUAACAUUUAUAGUUAUUUAUACUGCUGUCAUAAUAAAUUCAUAGAGGCCUACUAUAGCUUGCGCUUCAAGUAAAAAAAGAAGGUGCUUGAGAAAAUCUUUCCUAUCUGAUUUUGUUUAUGCUGCUAUGUGUGUGUGCACUCUGUGAUGAAUAUCAACUGAAGGUGAUGCUUGACUCACCUUUUAACUGCCAUUUAAAUUGCCAGGCCCGUAUAGUGCAGGGAGGGCCUGAAAUGUAAACCGUCCAAUCUGAUGAACCUGCCAACCGGUCAGAGCCUUUCAUGAGAUGAAC